This 77-nucleotide transfer RNA is filed under the name Dreissena polymorpha. RNAcentral describes it as "tRNA-Lys". Lineage: Eukaryota; Metazoa; Mollusca; Bivalvia; Myida; Dreissenidae. The record is from RNAcentral.
UGUGAAGUCGAGUGUUUAAGGCGAUAGACUCUUAAUCCUUUGGGAUCUUCCCGCGCAGGUUCGAAUCCUACCGACAA